Molecule: long non-coding RNA, 3075 nt
Filed under: Homo sapiens (human)
Lineage: Eukaryota; Metazoa; Chordata; Mammalia; Primates; Hominidae
Description: LHRI_LNC809.3
Source: RNAcentral
GAUGAAUGUCAUGCAUUCUGGGUAGUUUAGUCUUAUAACCAGCUGUCUUGCCUAGUCUAUUUAAGUUCAGCUGCUCUAGCUGAGAAUUUUCUCUUAUUAAACCCUGCUUCCCUCUUGUCUGGAGGAAAAAGAAAAAAGAGAACCAGACUUAGACACAACUUCUUGUGGGCACAUAUUCAGAAGGCAUCUCACUGGAGAGGGUUUAGUUCUCCUUAGCAGAAGAUAAGAUUUCAAGAUUUCAGCUAAGACUCAUCUCUCUGCAAAUCUUUCUUUUGAGAGCAUCUUCACCAGGAGGAGAUUCCAUCUCAAGAGACCACUUUCACUGCUCAUAUGUAAGAAGCAACUCUUCAUCUGUUCAAGUUUGAUCAUGAGAGUGCGGCAAUUCAGUCACAACUUCAGGCUCCACUUCUAGUUCUAGUUCUCUUGCUGUUUCCACCACAUCUACAGCGACUUCCUCCACUGAAGACGUGAACCCCUGAAAGUCAUCUAUGGGGGUUGGAAUCAAUGUCUUUCACACUCCUGUUAAUGUUGGUAUUUUGACCUCCUCCCAUGAAUUACAAAUGUUCCUAAUGGCAUCUAGAAUAAUGACUACUUUCCAGAAGCUUUUCAAUUUGCUUUGCUCAGAUCCAUCAAUGGAAUCACUAUCAAUGGUAGCUAUAUAAACUAUAUAAGGCUAUAUAUAUAUAUAUAGCUAUUUCUUAAUAGCCUUAUGAAAUAUAUUUCUUAAUAAGACUUGAAAGUCUUGGUCCAUGGACUGCAGAAUGGAUGUUUGUGUUAGCAGGGAUGAAAACAACAUGAAUAUUCUCGUACAUCUCCAACACAGCUCUUGAUCGACAUGGUGCAGAGCAGUAAUAUUUUGAAAGGAAUCUUUUUUUCUGAGCAAUAGUUCUCAAUAGUGGGCUUGAAAUAUUCAGUAAACCAUGCUGUAAACAGAUGUGUUGUCAUCCAGGCUUUAUUGUUCCAUUUAUGGAGCACAGAUAGAGUAGAUUUCGCAUAAUUCUUAAUGACACCAGGAUUUACAAAAUAGUAAAUGAACAUUUACUUCAACUUAAAGUCAUCAGCUGCAUUCACCUCUAAAAAGAGAGUCAGCCUGUCCUGUGGAGCUUUGCAGCUUGCCUUGACAUCUCCUCUCUAGCUGUGAAAGUCCUGGAUGGCAUCUUCUUCCAACAUAAGACUGUUUUGUCUACACUGAAAAUCUGUUGUUUCGUGUAGACACUUUCAUCAAUUAUCUUAUCUAGAUUUUCUGGAUAACUUGCCACAGCUUCUCCCUUUGCACUUGCUGCUUCAUCUUGCAUUUUUAUGUUAUGGAGAUGUUGUCUUUCAUUAAACCUCACAAACCAACCUCCGCUAGCUUCAAACUUUUCUUCUGCAGCUUCCUCACCUCUCUCCGCCUUCAUAGCAUUGAAGAGAGUUAGAGUCUUGCUCUGGAUUAGGCUUUGACUUAAGGAAAUGUUGUGGCUGGUUGGAUCUUUUCUCCAGACCACUCAAACUUUCUCCAUAUUAGCAAUAUGGCUGCUUUGUUUUCUCUUCAUUUGCAUGUUCCCUGGAGUAGAGCUUAAAUAUCCUUCAAGAACUUUUCCUGUGAAGUCGCAAUUUGGCUAACUGGUGCAGAGGUGAGCUUUUGGCCUUGACUUUCAAUAUGUCCUCCUUACUAAGCUUAAUCAUUUCUAGAUUUUGAUUUAAAGUGAGAGACGUGGGACUUUUCCCUUCACUUGAACACUUAGAGGCCAUUGUAGGGUUAUUAAUUGGCUUAAUUUCAAUAUUAUUGUGUCUUGGGCUGGGCACAGUGGCUCAUGCCUGUAAUCCCAGCCCUUUGGGAAGCUGAGGCAGGUGGAUUGUUUGAGUCUAGGAGUUUAAGGCCAGCCUGGGCAACAUGGCAAAACCCUGUCUCUCCUAAAAAUACAAAAAAAAAAUUAGCCGGGUGUGAUGGUGCACACCUGUAGUCCCAGCUUGGGAGGCUGAAGUGGGAGAAUCACCUGAGCCUGGGGAGGCAGAGGUUGCAGUGAGCUGAAAUCACAUCAUUGCACUCCAGCCUGGGCAAUCAGAGUGCGACUCUGCCUCAAAAAAAAAAUAUAUAUAUAUAUAUAUAUAAUUGUUAUAAAUAUAUAUAUAUAUAAUUGUUAUAUAUACAUUAUUGUGUCUCAGGAACAGGCAGUCCAUGGAGCAGUCAGAACACACACAACAUUUAUUGAUUGUUUGCCAUCUUACAUGGGUGCACUUCAUGGUGCCCCAAAACAACUACAAUAGUGACAUCAAAGAUCACUGAUCACAGAUUACCAUAACAGAUAUAGAAAUAAUGACAAAGUUUGAAAUAUUGGGAGAAUUACCAAAAUGUGACACAGAGAUGUAAAACAAGCACAUGCUGUUGGAAAAACAGCACCAAUAGACUUGCUCGAGGCAGGGUUGCCACAAACCUUCAAUUUGUAAACAACAACAACAACAACAAAAACAAUAUCUGUAAAGCACAAUAAGACAAGGUAUGUCUAUAUUUGCCCUUUUUCCUAACACUCCUCUCCCACUUCUCAAUGCUAGUCCAUGCCUAGAAGAGGGAGGUACAAGAAUUCCCCACAAGGUAGACCACUAGGCACGUGCUGUGGAGGAUGGAGCAGGAGGGGACAUAGGGACAGAAUGCACCCCCUCCUCUAGGCAGGGCCCUCCAGAAUCCAGUCAACCCUAAGGCCCCAUUGAAACAAUGACUGGAGAGAAAUGAAAUAAUUUCAUAUUGUGAGCUGAUUACAUUAGGAUGUGUUAUAAGGGAUAGUAUGAAAUAAGAUGUUAGUCCAUGCCCUUACCCUUGCUUGCUGAGCUGCUGGGCCUGCAGAGCCUUUCAGGUGCUGGGAGGGAGAGGUUUUUCCCAGCAUAACCCUCGGCUCACAUCUCACUGUGGCUCCAGGCUGGGGCUGCCAAGGCCGGACCUUGCAUUACAGGACUCUGUUUACACACACACACACACACACACACACACACACACACACACACACACAGAGUGCCGAAGUGGCAAUGUCUGAAGAAAUUUCCAGCCUCAUUCCUCCCAUGCCUGGAACCAAUCUCUUCUCCUCAAUUCAUGCACUGUCU